Chrysemys picta bellii (western painted turtle) is the source of this 508-nucleotide non-coding RNA. The record is from RefSeq and is a predicted model, not a curated record. Lineage: Eukaryota; Metazoa; Chordata; Testudines; Emydidae.
CAUCAUUUGCAGCCCCCACAGCCGCAAUCACUGCAGGAAAGAGACAGAGAUAGGAUCAGAGAGCUGCUUUCCCUAUCAGGCUGGCUCAGCGUGGGACAUGCCCGGACUACUCCCUCUCCCACAGAGGGCUAUUUGGGGUCAUAAAUGAGAAUGCCGCAGACGGGCCCCGGAGGAGCGCUUGGGGAGGGGGAGCGGGAAUUGUGCUGUCAGGGCACUCAGAGGGAGACAAAAAAGAAACUGAGAGUCACUCCCAAGGGAGCCCAUCUGUCGGUCUCUUGGGACUCCCUUGACCACGCGCUCACAGCCUUUGUGCGCUCUGCCAGCGCACGCCCGUCACCCUUUGAACGUUCUACGGAGAACACUCUGGGUCUAUCCAAGUGUUUCUUUUCCAUGGACCUCAAAUACUCACUUUACAGUAUUACACUUUACAUAUCACUUUGAUAUGCAUCCGAAGAAGUGGGCAGUAGCCCACGAAAGCUUAUGCUCUAAUAAAUGUGUUAGUCUCUAA